UACGGAGGAUCCAAGCGUUAUCCGGAUUCAUUGGGUUUAAAGGGUGCGUAGGCGGACUGAUAAGUCAGCGGUGAAAUCUCUCGGCUCAACCGAGAAACUGCCGUUGAUACUGUUAGUCCUGAAUGCAGAUGAUGUGGGCGGAAUAUGACAUGUAGUGGUGAAAUACUUAGAUAUGUCAUAGAACACCGAUUGCGAAGGCAGCUCACAAAACUGUGAUUGACGCUGAUGCACGAAAGCGUGGGGAUCAAACAGG
Molecule: ribosomal RNA, 253 nt
Filed under: uncultured bacterium
Lineage: Bacteria
Description: partial 16S ribosomal RNA
Rfam family: Bacterial small subunit ribosomal RNA
Source: RNAcentral